RNAcentral lists this ribosomal RNA (468 nucleotides) under uncultured bacterium. RNAcentral's name for it is "partial 16S ribosomal RNA". It matches the Rfam family "Bacterial small subunit ribosomal RNA", at positions 28 to 507 of the family's 1533-position model. The record is from RNAcentral.
GACGAACGCUGGCGGCGUGCUUAACACAUGCAAGUCGAACGGAAAGGCCCUGCGUUUGUGGGGUGCUCGAGUGGCGAACGGGUGAGUAACACGUGAGUAAACUGUCCUUGACUUACGGAUAACUUCAGGAAACUGGGGCUAAUACCGGAUAGGAGCUCCUGCAGCACGGUGGGGGUUGGAAAGUUUCGGCGGUUGGGGAUCGACUCGCGGCUUAUCAGCUUGUUGGUCGGGUAGUGGCUUACCAAGGCUGUGACGGGUAGCCGGCCUGAGAGGGUGACCGGCCACAUUGGGACUGAGAUACGGCCCAGACUCGUACGGGAGGCAGCAGGGGGGAAUAUUGCACAAUGGGCGGAAGCCUGAUGCAGCAACGCCGCGUGCGGGAUGACGUCCUUCGGGUUGUAAACCGAUUUCGCCUGUGACGAAGCGUGAGUGACGGUAAUGGGUAAAGAAGCACCGGCUAACUACGUG